Molecule: ribosomal RNA, 465 nt
Filed under: uncultured bacterium
Lineage: Bacteria
Description: partial 16S ribosomal RNA
Rfam family: Bacterial small subunit ribosomal RNA
Source: RNAcentral
CCUACGGGGGGCAGCAGUGGGGAAUAUUGCGCAAUGGGCGAAAGCCUGACGCAGCGACGCCGCGUGAGGGAUGAAGGUCUUCGGAUCGUCAACCUCUGUCAGCAGGGACGAACGGUCACUGUGCUAAUCAGCAGUGACUUGACGGUACCUGCAAAGUAAGCACCGGCUAACUCCGUGCCAGCAGCCGCGGUAACACGGAGGGUUGGAGCGUGAAUCGGAAUUACUGGGCGUAAAUCGCUCGUAGGCGGUAUGUCAAGUCAAGGGUGAAAUCCCCGCGCGCAACGUGGGAACUGCAUUUGAAACUGGCAAACUGGAGUGUGUGAGAGGAUGGUGGAAUUCCAGGUGUAGGAGUGAAAUCCGUAGAUAUCAGGAGGAACAUCAGUGGCGAAGGCGACUAUCUGGCACAUAACUGACGCUGAGGAGCGAAAGCGUGGGUAGCAAACAGGAUUAGAUACCCGAGUAGUC